This 740-nucleotide ribosomal RNA is filed under the name uncultured bacterium. RNAcentral's name for it is "bacterial SSU rRNA". It matches the Rfam family "Bacterial small subunit ribosomal RNA", at positions 387 to 1135 of the family's 1533-position model. The record is from RNAcentral.
UGCAGCGACGCCGACGUGAGGGAUGACAGGCCUUCGGGUUGUAAACCUCUUUCAGUAGGGAAGAAGCGAAAGUGACGGUACCUGCAGAAGAAGCGCCGGCUAACUACGUGCCAGCAGCCGCGGUAAUACGUAGGGCGCAAGCGUUAUCCGGAAUUAUUGGGCGUAAAGAGCUCGUAGGCGGUUUGUCGCGUCUGCCGUGAAAGUCCGGGGCUCAACUCCGGAUCUGCGGUGGGUACGGGCAGACUAGAGUGAUGUAGGGGAGACUGGAAUUCCUGGUGUAGCGGUGAAAUGCGCAGAUAUCAGGAGGAACACCGAUGGCGAAGGCAGGUCUCUGGGCAUUAACUGACGCUGAGGAGCGAAAGCAUGGGGAGCGAACAGGAUUAGAUACCCUGGUAGUCCAUGCCGUAAACGUUGGGCACUAGGUGUGGGGGACAUUCCACGUUUUCCGCGCCGUAGCUAACGCAUUAAGUGCCCCGCCUGGGGAGUACGGCCGCAAGGCUAAAACUCAAAGGAAUUGACGGGGGCCCGCACAAGCGGCGGAGCAUGCGGAUUAAUUCGAUGCAACGCGAAGAACCUUACCAAGGCUUGACAUGGACCGGACCGCCGCAGAAAUGUGGUUUCCCCUUUGGGGCCGGUUCACAGGUGGUGCAUGGUUGUCGUCAGCUCGUGUCGUGAGAUGUUGGGUUAAGUCCCGCAACGAGCGCAACCCUCGUUCCAUGUUGCCAGCGCGUAAUGGCGGG